This 348-nucleotide ribosomal RNA is filed under the name uncultured bacterium. RNAcentral describes it as "bacterial SSU rRNA". It matches the Rfam family "Bacterial small subunit ribosomal RNA", at positions 28 to 372 of the family's 1533-position model. The record is from RNAcentral.
GAUGAACGCUAGCGGCAGGCUUAAUACAUGCAAGUCGAGGGGCAGCACGAAUAGCAAUAUUUGGUGGCGACCGGCAAACGGGUGCGGAACACGUACGCAACCUUCCUUUAAGUGGAGAAUAGCCCCGGGGAAACCCGGAUUAAUACUCCGUAACAUUAUAAAGUGGCAUCACUUAGUAAUUAUAGAUUUAUCGCUUAAAGAUGGGCGUGCGCCUGAUUAGGUAGUUGGCGGAGUAANAGCCCACCAAGCCUGCGAUCAGUAACUGGUGUGAGAGCACGACCAGUCACACGGGCACUGAGACACGGGCCCGACUCCUACGGGAGGCAGCAGUAAGGAAUAUUGGUCAAU